RNAcentral lists this ribosomal RNA (275 nucleotides) under uncultured bacterium. Its description in RNAcentral is "partial 16S ribosomal RNA". It matches the Rfam family "Bacterial small subunit ribosomal RNA", at positions 338 to 609 of the family's 1533-position model. The record is from RNAcentral.
CCUACGGGUGGCUGCAGUAAGGAAUAUUGGUCAAUGGGCGGAAGCCUGAACCAGCCAUGCCGCGUGCGGGAAGAAGGCCCUCUGGGUUGUAAACCGCUUUUGUCAGGGAAGAAUGGAGAGGAUUCAUCCUCUUAGGGACGGUACCUGAAGAAUAAGCACCGGCUAACUCCGUGCCAGCAGCCGCGGUAAUACGGAGGGUGCAAGCGUUAUCCGGAAUCACUGGGUUUAAAGGGUACGUAGGCGGCCUGAUAAGUCAGGUGUGAAAUACCGCAGCC